Molecule: ribosomal RNA, 467 nt
Filed under: uncultured bacterium
Lineage: Bacteria
Description: partial 16S ribosomal RNA
Rfam family: Bacterial small subunit ribosomal RNA
Source: RNAcentral
GACGAACGCUGGCGGCGUGCUUAACACAUGCAAGUCGAACGGAAAGGCCCUGCUUUUGUGGGGUGCUCGAGUGGCGAACGGGUGAGUAACACGUGAGUAACCUGCCUUGACUUUGGGAUAACUUCAGGAAACUGGGGCUAAUACCGGAAAGGAGCCCCUGCUGCAUGGGUGGGUUUGGAAAGUUUCGGCGGUUGGGAAUGGCCUGGGGGCUUAUCAGCUUGUUGGUGGGGUGGGGGCUUACCAAGGCUUUGACGGGUAGCCGGCCUGAGAGGGUGACCGGCCACAUUGGGACUGAGAUACGGCCCAGACUCCUACGGGAGGCAGCAGUGGGGAAUAGUGCACAAUGGGCGGAAGCCUGAUGCAGCAACGCCGCGUGCGGGAUGACGGCCUUCGGGUUGUAAACCGCUUUCGCCUGUGACGAAGCGUGAGUGACGGUAAUGGGUAAAGAAGCACCGGCUAACUACGUG